Molecule: ribosomal RNA, 527 nt
Filed under: uncultured prokaryote
Description: bacterial SSU rRNA
Rfam family: Bacterial small subunit ribosomal RNA
Source: RNAcentral
CGAACGGUAACAUUUCUAGCUUGCUAGAAGAUGACGAGUGGCGGACGGGUGAGUAAUGCUUGGGAACUUGCCUUUGCGAGGGGGAUAACAGUUGGAAACGACUGCUAAUACCGCAUAAUGUCUACGGACCAAACGGGGCUUCGGCUCCGGCGCAAAGAGAGGCCCAAGUGAGAUUAGCUAGUUGGUAAGGUAACGGCUUACCAAGGCGACGAUCUCUAGCUGUUCUGAGAGGAAGAUCAGCCACACUGGGACUGAGACACGGCCCAGACUCCUACGGGAGGCAGCAGUGGGGAAUAUUGCACAAUGGGGGAAACCCUGAUGCAGCCAUGCCGCGUGUGUGAAGAAGGCCUUCGGGUUGUAAAGCACUUUCAGUUGUGAGGAAAAGUUAGUAGUUAAUACCUGCUAGCCGUGACGUUAACAACAGAAGAAGCACCGGCUAACUCCGUGCCAGCAGCCGCGGUAAUACGGAGGGUGCGAGCGUUAAUCGGAAUUACUGGGCGUAAAGCGCACGCAGGCGGUUUGUUAAG